UGCAAAUGAUGGUCUCACGAUGGUCUUCCAAGCCGUGGAAGCGGUAUUGACGACAAGUCCUUCAUGGAAAUACUGAUGCAGCUGU
This is a small nucleolar RNA of Erpetoichthys calabaricus (reedfish), 85 nucleotides long. The record is from Ensembl. Lineage: Eukaryota; Metazoa; Chordata; Cladistia; Polypteriformes; Polypteridae.